GGACAUCGAAGUGCCUCGGAGUUUGAUGAACAUAAUUAAUUACAGGCACAUAGACGUCGCGCGCCCAAAAAUGCGACGUCUAUUUUGCAGAAAUUUUUGUCUUCCCGCUUUCCAGACAGGCCAUAAACGUCAAUUUUUGUCUACCGGACGUCUAAGCGCCUGUGAAUCAAGUGAACAACAUUAAUUGCAGUCAAGUAGACGUCGGCCCC
Molecule: long non-coding RNA, 209 nt
Filed under: Vigna radiata
Lineage: Eukaryota; Viridiplantae; Streptophyta; Magnoliopsida; Fabales; Fabaceae
Description: long non-coding RNA (VRAD_LNC011251)
Source: RNAcentral